RNAcentral lists this ribosomal RNA (497 nucleotides) under uncultured bacterium. RNAcentral describes it as "partial 16S ribosomal RNA". It matches the Rfam family "Bacterial small subunit ribosomal RNA", at positions 28 to 507 of the family's 1533-position model. The record is from RNAcentral.
GAUGAACGCUGGCGGCGUGCCUAAUACAUGCAAGUCGAGCGAACAGACGAGGAGCUUGCUCCUCUGACGUUAGCGGAGGACGGGUGAGUAACACGUGGAUAACCUACCUAUAAGACUGGGAUAACUUCGGGAAACCGGAGCUAAUACCGGAUAAUAUAUUGCACCGCAUGGUUCAAUAGUGAAAGACGGUUUUGCGGUCACUUAUAGCUGGAUACGGGCCGCAUUAGCUAGUUGGUAAGGUAACGGCUUACCACGGCAACGAUGCGUAGCCGAACUGAGAGGGGGGUCGGCGACACUGGAGCGUGGACGCGGUCCAGGCUCCUGCGGGAGGCAGCAGUAGCGAAUCGUCCGCAGCAGGCGAGAACCUUGCGGAGCAAGCCGGCGUGAGUUGUGGAAGUCUUGCGAUCGUAAAACUCUGUUAUGAGUGAAAAACAGAUGUGGAAGUAACUGAGCACGGCGUGACGGUAACGAGUCAGAAAGCCACGGCUAACUACGUG